AAGCACAAGAUCAUACCACUCGACCUUUCCCCAUAUUUCUCCUCCUUCGCGCCUUUCGAGGGCAAUCUCUGCACACCAAAUUUCUGUUGUCUCGCUCAUUUUCUCUAUUUUAUGCAAAAACACAACUAAUUUUCUACCAUAACUUGUUGUGAAUGAUCGUGGACCGUCCAAACGUAGUUUUAAUUCCACACCGUUCACCACUUCCCAAAUCCUCUCUUUCGGGUCAUACGCUCUUAUACAAUUCAUGUGAUUAUCAUAGUAGUACAAUACAUCGUC
Arabidopsis thaliana (thale cress) is the source of this 276-nucleotide long non-coding RNA. RefSeq annotates it as other RNA. NCBI's taxonomy places the organism in Eukaryota, Viridiplantae, Streptophyta, Magnoliopsida, Brassicales, Brassicaceae. The transcript has a single exon. The record is from RefSeq.